UACGGGGGGGGCAAGCGUUGUUCGGAAUUAUUGGGCGUAAAGGGCCCGUAGGCGGUUCGGUAAGUCGGAUGUGAAAUUCCUCGGCUCAACCGAGGAAGGGCAUCCGAAACUGCCGGGCUUGAGUACGGAAGAGGGUCUCGGAAUUCCCGGUGUAGAGGUGAAAUUCGUAGAUAUCGGGAGGAACACCAGUGGCGAAGGCGGAGACCUGGGCCGAUACUGACGCUGAGGUGCGAAAGCGUGGGGAGCAAACAGG
RNAcentral lists this ribosomal RNA (253 nucleotides) under uncultured bacterium. Its description in RNAcentral is "partial 16S ribosomal RNA". It matches the Rfam family "Bacterial small subunit ribosomal RNA", at positions 524 to 776 of the family's 1533-position model. The record is from RNAcentral.